UUUGUAGAAGACGUUAGCAAGUUUUUUCAAAUUCUAAUGGAAGAUAUAACGUGGCAGUUAUUUUAAAUGAAAAACAACCAGAUAAGUAGCUCUUAUUAAUUAAUUUUAUAUUUCAUAGGUGGGACUGCCAUUUUCAUUAUGUAAUGUAAUUUUUAAGUUAAUUUAACAAUUUUGGAACCACACUCGUUUCAAUUUCACUUCUGUAUAAAAUGUGACAUUAUUAAGAGAUUGUACCGCCAGUGAAUUUUUUUUUAAUUUUUCAUAUCAUUAUUUUUCAUAACUACUCUUUCACAGUGAGUUAGGACGGCCAAAUGAUACUUGUCAUGUCAUUUAAUUUUUGGACUGCGCAAUUCAUAAUGUAAAUUUGUAAAUCAUUUAGGAAAAUUCUCUACACUAACAAUGGUAUCCAUGACGCACCCUGGCAAUGGUAUCAAUGAAACAUACAUGAAGGAUUUAUUUGCAAAACAAAAAAUAACAAAAAAUGGAAGGUCAAAUUGAAGGUCAAAUUGAUUGCCAACUUGUCGCGCUUUAUGGUAAAUUCAUCGAGCACCGUAUUAAACAUCCCGGGUCAACGGGGUACAGAUCGUUUGGCCGGUGGCUCAAGCAAGGUGGUGUGGAAUGGACGGAGGGGGAAGAUGCCACGGAAACAUCGCCAGACGUGGAAUUAAGUAAGAUAUCAAUUUUCAAAUGUUCAAAGUUCGUGUUACGUAAUUAAACUAUGGUAUAUAUACUUCAGUUUUAUCUAUGAAAUUUAUUGAAUUAACCUUUCCUUUAUUUUUCCUUUAGUGAAUGUCUGGACUCGAUUUCUAAGGUACAGAUUGACCCACAGUGGUUCAAUGGAGGCUGAGGUGUUUGGACGUUGGGUCCAUAAUGGCGGAAGAGAAUUCCGAAAAAGCAAGGGUGAAGGAAGCAGUCGUGGUGGCCGACGCGGUCGUGGAGGUCAACGUGGUCGGGGGGGUCGUAUCAGACCUUACUAAUGUUUUUUUGUUUUUUUUUAAUUUCGUCUGUUAACCUUUAGUAGAAUGACGUAAGAUCUCAACAAGAACAAGUCCUUUUGAUUUAGAAUUUCGUACUCCAUAAGUCAGUGACAAAAGUAAUUUUUGAGUAACUAAACGGUCUAAUAUGUAAAAUAUACGCGGAUAUUCACUACAAAUGGUAUUUGGGUAAAAUGGUCAUCAUUUCCGGUCCACAAAAUACAAACGAGAGAUUGUGAUGUGAUAUUCACAAUAAAGAUAGUUAAAAUUGUUAUGAGUUGUCUACAAAGUUUCAUCGUGCAAUCAUUUGUAGCAUUGAUUUUUUAAGGUCCCGUAAAUCCUAUAAUUCCUGUUUCUUCGUCAAUUACGUUUUAUAGCAAGUGCUUCAGUUAACAUCCGCCUGAGACACAGACUUCGAAGUUGCUCUCCUCUCGUUCUACUGAAGGUUAACCCUUCUAAUUAUUUAUUACUUUAUUUUAUUAGUAUGAAUUAAAG
Long non-coding RNA from Hydractinia symbiolongicarpus, 1469 nucleotides. RefSeq lists it as uncharacterized. The record is from RefSeq and is a predicted model, not a curated record. NCBI's taxonomy places the organism in Eukaryota, Metazoa, Cnidaria, Hydrozoa, Anthoathecata, Hydractiniidae. The transcript is spliced from 3 exons.